This 1638-nucleotide long non-coding RNA is filed under the name Equus caballus (horse). RNAcentral describes it as "lncRNA (ENSECAG00000048045.1)". The record is from RNAcentral. Lineage: Eukaryota; Metazoa; Chordata; Mammalia; Perissodactyla; Equidae.
CUUUUAAACUCUUCCUUAAGAGGCAAAAAAGUGUGUUGCUGUGUGUGUAUGUGAUUUAAUUAAAUUAAGAUUUUUUUUCUUUUCAGGGACCUUCCCAAAAUGUUAGAAGAAGGGUAGAAAAACAUUUGCAACUUGUGUUUCACUUGGUGAACGAGUCAGGAACUGUUUGUGCACAAAUAAUCCAACAUCAGCCUAAGUUUUUCGGCUGUGUUUUCGAAAGAACAAGAAAAGAUUUUGCUUCCAGUUCCUGCACAUUACAUUUCCUAUUCAGCACCACUUUCUUUUCAUUCUUUCUGUCAUUAAUCUGUUCAUUUUGGAAGAAUAAGUAAUUAAACAGUUUUGAAAAAUUUUUGUGUGCUUGUGUAUGUGUGAUAUGUUGUUGGAGCAUCUACAAGAGCAGUAAAAAUACUUGUCCAAACCCUUGCUAUGCAUGUCAUGAAUGUUUUGAAGGCAGGAAACCAUACAGUCCUAUUUUAAGAAAUUCUAUUUAUUUUUAAGUCAAAUAAAUUUUUUCCUCCUCUUUAAAGUACCUGACUUUAAAAGCAAGAGAAGUUUUACGGCAUUGAUUUAUAGAAAAAAACUACAACAACAAUGCUUCCAGUAGAUUGAGGUUUGAAUACCACAGCUCUUGGAGACAUAGAGAUCUAGGGCUUAAUUUUGAGUUAACUUAUGUUUUCACCUACUUAUUUGCUGACUUCUUAAACAUGUUAAUUUUUCAUGUAUUUCUAUUUCCUUCAGUAUAAUUACAUCAUCUCCUUAACCAGGAGAAUGGCUGUCUGCUCCUCAGAUCUGUAUCAUUAAUGAAGAUCUUUGUGUGUUGUGUUUCCUUGGUACAGAAAGCUUCAGGGCAGGAGUGACAGAAGAGAAAUGCCUACUUGGUUCCAGGCAAUACUAAGUUAUAUGGCAGCAUUUAAAAUAGAAGCAGAAUGCACCAGAUACUCAAGAAACAAAAUAAAUGAAGUGAGCAUCUGUUACAACACAUUUAGAGCAAAGAAAGACUUCUGCUGGGUAAGUGAUAAAGAGUAUAAAUAAGGCUGAUCUGCAGGAUGGCUUUCAAUGUUUUUCUUUGUCUAGAUUUGGGGUCUUCCUAUAUAUACAGGCAGGAUUUUUAGGGGGAGUAGCCAAUCAGCUAUCACCCCAUCACCUAUCCCACAACCCCCGGCAAAUUCUUACAUGACUUUGGUAGUCAUAUUCUGAUGUUUUCAGUCUUUCUCACUAGGUAUUUGAACUAGCUCAUACAGAGUAAGUCCUGAAUCAACACUCUCAAUUAUACCUCUUUCCAAAAUCACACAAGUUAUAAAAGCAGUGAUGUGGACUGACGUCCUGGCAGCAAGCUGUGCAAGUUGAAGCGGAAUCUGAUUGAGAAGGUUAGCCCUGAGCUAACAUCUGUGCCAAUCUUCCUCCAUUUUGUUUGUGGGAUGCCUCCACAGCAUGGGUGAUGAGCAGAGCAAGUCCACACCUGGGAUCCAAACCUGUGAAUCUGGGCUGCUGAAGCCAAGAGCACAGACCUUUAACCACUCAGCCAUGGGGCCAGCUCCUGUUUUUCAUUAUUAUUGAGACUGAGGGGUGGGAGUUCUCAAUAUAUUCUGGAUAAAACUCCUUUGUAGGAUACAUGUAUUAAAAGUAUUUCAGUUUGUG